UACAUUGUUUUUAUGGGAAAUGGGUGGGUCCAAAACGUUUCGGAGAGGACUGAGUCUAAACAUUUCCAGGUAAGGGGCGGGCUAGCACUUCAAGAAGAAGGUGUGGGAGUGAGGGCUAACGUUACCUUGGAGUGCAGGUGUUUGUGUGCCCGCGUGCAGUGUGUGCGUUAGAGGAGGCCCCGUCAUGGGAGAGGAGGAGACAGAUUGGGUAGAGUCAUUGGCCUUAGUCCUUCUGUUCCCUCUGACCUCAGGAACCCCGAGUGCUGUGUCCAGAUUCUGCAGGGAAGGUUUGCUGGGACCCUGGUCCCAUCCUGCCAGUGGAAUGUCGGCCACACUGGAUCUGAAAUCGAAGGAGGAGAAGGAUGCUGAGCUAGAUAAGAGGAUCGAGGCUCUUCGGCGGAAGAAUGAGGCCCUCAUCCGGCGCUACCAGGAGAUUGAGGAGGACCGUAAAAAAGCUGAACUCGAGGGAGUAGCGGUGACAGCUCCCCGGAAGGGCCGCUCAGUGGAGAAGGAGAAUGUGGCAAUGGAAAUGGAGAAGAACCUGGGUCCCUCCCGGAGGUCUCCUGGGACCCCUCGGCCCCCAGGGGCCAGCAAGGGAGGCCGGAUCCCCCCUCAGCAUGGAGGCCGGGCAGGCAUGGGCCGGGCAGGCAUGGGCCGGGCAUCCCGCAGCUGGGAAGACAGUCCCGGGGAGCAGCCUCGAGGAGGAGCUGGGGGCCGCGGCCGGAGGGGUCGGGCCAGGGGGUCCCCUCAUCUCUCUGGAACUGGAGAUGCCUCAGCUGCCGACCGCAAAUCCAAGGAGUGGGAGGAGCGGCGCAAGCAGAACAUUGAGAAGAUGAAUGAAGAGAUGGAGAAGAUUGCAGAGUACGAGCGCAACCAGCGGGAAGGCGUGCUGGAGCCCAACCCAGUGCGGAACUUCCUGGACGACCCCCGGCGACGCAGCGGGCCCCUGGAGGAGCCUGAGCGGGACCGUCGGGAAGGCAGCCGCCGGCACGGGCGCAACUGGGGGGGCCCCGACUUCGAGCGGGUGCGUUGCGGCCUCGAGCAGGAGCGGCAGGGCCGCCGGGCCGGCCUGGGUGGCGCUGGGGACAUGACGCUCUCCAUGACGGGCCGAGAGCGGUCCGAGUACCUGCGCUGGAAGCAGGAGCGGGAGAAGAUCGACCAGGAGCGGCUGCAGCGGCACCGCAAGCCCACCGGCCAGUGGCGGAGGGAGUGGGAUGCUGAGAAGACUGAUGGCAUGUUCAAGGAUGGCCCAGCCGUGGCCCUGGAACCAUCCCACCGCUAUGAUGACCAGGCCUGGGCCCGGCCUCCCAAGCCCCCCACUUUCAGGGAAUUCCUGUCCCAGCACAAAACUGAGGUCAGCCGUAGAAAGAGGAAGAGCGGCCGACCUCAGGCCAAGGCAGCCCCCCGUGCCUACAGUGACCACGAUGACCGCUGGGAGACGCAGGAGGCAGUGUCCGCAGCCCCUGAGCCCACACAGCCCUCUACCCCUGAGGAGGCGCCCAUGCAGCCGCCCGAGAGCCCGGCCCCUGCCCAUCAGCCUCCUGAGGACGAGGACGAGGGUGAGGAGGGCGAGGGCCAGGAGGGCGAGGGUGACGACGGGGAGGCCGAGGAGUGGGAAGACAUGAGUGAGGAUGCGGAGGAGGAAGCGGUCGAGGAAGAAGAAGAGGCUGAUGAGGAGGGAGAAGAACCAGCCCGGGACCACCGGCCCCACGAGCCUGAGCCCAGCGGGAGCCCCAGCGGGAGCCCCAGCGGAAGCCCCAGCGGGAGCCCCAGCGGGAGCCCCAGCGGGGAACGUGGCGACGAAGAGCCCGCCAGGCCGGAGGAGCCCCUGCCACUCCCCCAGGCCCCUGCCACGCCUUCCAGCCCCUUCUCGCCCACCGGGGGCCACCAGCCUGUGUCCGACUGGGGUGAAGAGAUGGAGCUGAAUUCUCCCCGGACCGCCCAUCCGGCUGACGCCCUCUCUCCGGGAGGAGACCAGCCAGCCCCUGCCUCCUUGAAGAGUGGGCCCAGCCUCCCAAGAACCCAGAAAGCUGAAGAGGAGGGGUCUGAGACAGCUCCAGCAGGUGGAAGCCAGAUUGUGAACCACGGACCUCCCCCAGGAGUGGGAUUAGGAUUUCGAGGCAGAGCCAAGGAAGGUCUGGUUAGGACUCAGGAGAGGCGGACCCUGAGGGCCAGGAGACGGCGGAGAUCACCGACUUCCAGAGGGCCUCCCCGAAUUCCUGAAGACGCUGCUGGGAGGGGACUGAAGCUUCCCCGCCUUGAUGGGGAGGGGGAGGCAGGAGGGGCUUAGUCUGGAUCUCCGGGCUCUGCUCUCUCGUCCCCGGAGCCCACUCUGGACCCCAUGGUUUUAGAGAGGGAGAAAUUGAGGGUGGUGGGGGAGGAGAUGGGGGAGGGGGCGUGAUUGGUGUGUGGGGCGGAUCUGGAGCUUUGGGUUGUGAGCUUAGACCUCAGGACACAAAGUAUGGAGAAGGAGGCACGUCCCGUGAGGGGGCGUGGUUAGGGUGACUGGGUGGGGCCAGAAUUCUGGUGUAUGGAGUUAAACCAUGGGACGGAGGAUGUUAGGAUGUGGGAUGGAACCACGAGAGCAGGUUUAGAUGGGAAUCCGUUAUGCCGGUGUGGGGCGCAGCCAGCGGCGGAGGGCGUGGUUUAGAAUGGGGUGCGCAAACUAGUGGAGAAAGGAGGUGGAGCCUGGACCGAAGAUGGGUGAAGAUGGACCGCCGGCCCUCGAGAGCCCGGCGCCCCCGCCGCGGAUGCGCCGUUCCCGGAUUGGGGUCUGGCUCCCUCUUCAUGACAUCGUGUAGCGUCUCCGGAGCCGUCAUCCUGAAGAAUGGGGGGCGAAGAGGGUCUGGCUCUGGGCCUCGCCCCUCGCAGCUUCUCCGCCGUCAGGCCGGUCCUCCACCAUCUGGCCGACCGCAAACUGAUCUUUGCCUCCUGACCCUCCCUCUUUAGGGUUCUGAGUACAGAGUCUUCAGCCCGCCCCCCUUCUCCCUGAAUCUCCGUAUCCAUCUUCCACAUGCAAUAAACUCAGCCCCAGCUGCC
RNA transcript from Globicephala melas (long-finned pilot whale), 3039 nucleotides. It is a transcript of the gene named coiled-coil domain containing 9, with no coding region annotated. The record is from RefSeq and is a predicted model, not a curated record. Lineage: Eukaryota; Metazoa; Chordata; Mammalia; Artiodactyla; Delphinidae.